AUGAGGUUUCAUUUUGCAUUUAAUGACUAUCACAAAGCGAAUACUAUCCCUUUUCUCUGCUUCUAGGGCAGAAACUCAUCUUUGCAGUGUCUUAGUCGAUUCUUCGAUUGCUGGCUUUUACUCUAGUUUCUCUCAGCCUCAAGGUCUAUUCUUCCGGGUACAUGGAGGCUUUUCGACUUUGGUCUAAUCUCUGAUGAUCAGUUACCCUGCCACCUCGGAAAUAUAUCAUCUUACUAAUUGUAAGAGUUACUCACUAUCUUUUAAUUUAACAUGAUAUUUAAUAAACUCACUUCUCAACAGUUUGCGCAGCCAACUCUGACUCCACUCACCAAAAUCAGAUAUUUGUGCUGUUUUAAACAAGUUCCGAUGAAUCUCAGAGGCACAUUCAGAAUGACACUUUGAACGCUUGAAAAACUUGACAUUUUCAAGCUACAUUUACGAAGCACAUGAUACAAAGACCACGGUGGAAAAGAUAGAAUUAGGUGCAACGAUCAAAUCACUCUGAAGUUUUUGAGUAUGGUUCGAAUAGUUGAAAUUUGAACUUCGCAAAACAGAUCGUUAAGUGUACGAAAUAUAUUAAGCAAAUCGAUGCGGGAUUAUUUGAUCAAGUGCCUACAUAGCAAGGGUAAUUUAUACGACUCUGGUCAAUCGCUGAACAGCAGUACGAUGAUAAAAGUGUAUUCAAUAAAUUUUAUGAAGAGUAUUUUGACAACUUCCAGUAUAAUUCGAUUGUGCCGUCCGCAGAUGCGAAAAAAAUUAAUAAAUAAAACGGAUACAAGUGAAAAUUUAGCAUCAAUCAAGUAUGAAAACGGUAGUUUUCUCGAUCAGAAUUCGUGCGAUCGUUACACUUUUACCGCGUGAUGUUAUUUCGUUUCCAUUCUUAUCGCAUAUAGUUACAUUCACUCAAGUUACAGGAGUUUAUUUCUUUCGGUGAUUACGUCAAAUUGCGCAUAUUUAUAUAAGUACAACGAUAUACUGACUCUCACGACGAAACUGGAGAAAAAAUAUCAAGACGUUUCAGAUCUGUACAUGUGGAGUCCACUCUUGAAAAAGUAUGAAUUCAAUAUGCGUUGCAGAAAAACAAAGUGAGAUCAUCGCGUGGCUAUCAAAUAUCACGUGACCGAUAAUACUAACCGCAGCUCUUCUCGAGCUUUGAUAUAUUGCCAUACUCUUCUCACUGGAAAAACAGUUUGAUUUCGGUCCGCACGGUGAACGCUAGCAUUAGUAUCUCCAGACUUCAUCCAAAGAGCAGCAACCAAUUGAGUUGAAGAACCGAAUUUAUCACCGUCAAACAAUGUUCACCCAAAUUGUAGUUAACACGUGCUUGGUAUUGGUGGGUGUGCUGACUGUCUUAUACUUGUAUAUUCGUCGCCAAUUUACUUACUGGGAGCGACUAGGCGUGCCGUACGUGAAGCCGGAUACGUUUCUGGGAAACUUUGGGGAUUCCUUUACGAAGAAGAGACCCAUGUCUGAAAUGCUGAUUGAAUUAUACAAUAAAUCCAGUGGAAAAGGGUUUACGGGUGUGUGGAACUUUUUCUCGCCAGCACUGUUUCUCGCCAAUCCCGAGGUGCUAUGCGAUAUCAUGAUAAAGAAUUUCGACGCGUGGACCGACCGUGGAGUACCUAAGAAUCCGGAGUCCGAUCCGCUUUCGCAGCACGUGGCCGCCCUGGAUGGAAAGAUGUGGAAGGACGUGAGAGCGAAACUGACGCCAACGUUCACAUCCGCGAAACUCAAGCACAUGCAUCACCUGUUCUUGGAGUGCGGGAAAGACUUGGAGAAAUAUCUGGAGUCUUUGGUUUCAAAAAAUGAGGCGAUCGAGGCCAGGGAAGUCAGCGCCAAAUUCGCCACGGACGUAAUCGGCUCCUGUGCCUUUGGGAUUCAGAUGAAUUCACUUAGUGACGAAGAUGCCGCCUUUCGUAACAUGGGGAAAAAAAUGCUCGAUGUAACAAUGGGACAGCGAUUCGCCAUUGUUGUGGUUCUGUGUUCUCCGUGGUUGUUCAAGAAACUGAAGCUAUCUCUGACACGGCCAGACGUCGAAGAGUUCUUCCUAAGAUACACCAGGGAGGCCUUCGAGUAUCGGGAAAAGAACAACGUGCAGAAGCACGACUUCAUAGAUCUUUUGAGGAAUCUCAAAAACGUGGAUCAGUCACUCGGCGAGGGUGAAACAGUAUUCGACGAUAAACUCCUGGCUGCCCAAGCGUUUGUUUUCUUUGGGGCCGGUUUCGAGACGAGCUCUACAACGAUUGGGUACGCCCUUCACGAGCUGGCUGUUAACCAGGAUAUGCAAGACCGUCUGCGAAAGGAAUUGCAUGAAAUGAAAGCCGCUAACAAGGGUGAAAUCACCUGGGAUGGUUUGCAGGGUAUGAAGUACUUGGACAUGAUAUUCCAAGAAACUCUGAGAAAAUAUCCAGUAGUUCCGCAAGUCAGCCGAGUCUCGGUAAAGCCUUACCAACUUCCUGGUACGAAUGUGGUACUACCGUCAGGAUCAAGAUGCAUAAUUCCCAUCUACGCCUUUCACCACGAUCCGCAAUUCUUUCCGAAUCCGGAAAUAUUCGAUCCAAAGAGGUUCACUGACGAGGCAAAGGCCCAGCGACGCCCUCUUACCUUUAUACCCUUCGGUGGUGGGCCCAGGAAUUGUAUAGAAGCUUUGGGAAAAUACCCAAACAUUUUAGAAACAGAGUGACAGUCGGUCAGGCCUCGUCGAGACGCCUGAUAAAAAUGUAUUUCUACUUCGGAGGCCAACAACAAUGACUCCAUUCUACGUUAUUAGCCGUGAUUCAGAAUAUUUACCAGAUCUUAAGACAUUCGAACCACAAAGGUUUAUCGACAAUGCCAAGUACAGGCGAUUGCCUUCUGUGUGCAUUCCUUUUGGAGAGGUCCCUGAUUUGCCGAACAGCUCAGACCGAAUUUGGAAUCGAUAAGAUAGCGACCGUUCUAUCUCGCUCCUUUCCUCUAAUCGUAGGAACCCCCGUUGUGGUUCUCAGCAUCCGUUUAAAUUCUGUUCCGCUCUCGCUUCCGGUUUUCGACUAUAUAAGGGAGUUCUCGCCUGAAUCGAACCGCAGUUGUCGGUCAGCUUUCAGCGAAACUAUUACGGACCGACGUUCAGCUGUACUAUGUCGCUUGUUAUCGUAUUUCAAGAAGUUAAAUUAGCAAUCUCUCAUCGACACAAUACCUUCGCUCAAUCGAUUCAUUGCGUAUAGUACAUGAGGUUUCAUCUUGCAUUUAAUGACUAUCACGAAGCGAAUACUAUCCCUUUUCUCUGCUUCUA
RNAcentral lists this unclassified non-coding RNA (3268 nucleotides) under Neodiprion pinetum (white pine sawfly). RNAcentral describes it as "probable cytochrome P450 6a13, transcript variant X3". The record is from RNAcentral. Lineage: Eukaryota; Metazoa; Arthropoda; Insecta; Hymenoptera; Diprionidae.